RNAcentral lists this transfer RNA (69 nucleotides) under Marmota marmota marmota (Alpine marmot). It matches the Rfam family "tRNA". Rfam says of the family: Transfer RNA (tRNA) molecules are approximately 80 nucleotides in length. Lineage: Eukaryota; Metazoa; Chordata; Mammalia; Rodentia; Sciuridae. The record is from Rfam by way of RNAcentral. RNAcentral also lists the same sequence under 1 other name.
GGUGCUAUAGCUCAGUGGCAGAGUGCUUACCUAGCAUGUGUGAGGCACUGGGUUCGAUCCUUAGCACCA